CCCAGCAGUCAUUUUCUUCAUAGAGGGACAAGUGCAGAAUCGUGAAGGGGAAGCUCAGAUGAUGGUCCCGUCCAGGAGGAUGCAGUCUUCCCACCCUCCUCUGCUUUGAUGCCUGAACUUGAAGGACCGCUCUCAGUACUCGCUCUGCACUUUGCCUCCCAACCUCCUGCUUUGCUGCAGGACCCCACGGAGCACAGCCCUGAAAUGAGCCUUGCACAUACAAACAGUGAACCCAUGGAAAAGAAGGAGUGACCCAUGAAGGAGCGGAGACGCCAGAGCUGCAGGGGAGAGGCUGCCUGGGAAGUCAAAUGAGGGCAGAAGGCAUCAGCCUUUCCAGGAAAGAACCUGUCCUUGCACAUUUCCUCAUGUCUGGGCUUCAAUAUCAUGAUUAGGAGCACAUGGUGAGAAAACGGACAGAAGAUGGGGCUAAGCAGUGGGUGCCCAAUUCUGGAUUUUUAAAUGCAAGCAGGAGCUCCAAAGUGUCCUUCUGAAGUCCUGUUCUAGAGCCCUUUAUAAGUAGGGGUUGGACCUCUGGCUUCUAUUUGGACAGAUGAGGAAGACAGCAGGCAAAGUUGGCUUUUGGCCACACUUAUACCUCCC
Molecule: long non-coding RNA, 600 nt
Filed under: Phasianus colchicus (ring-necked pheasant)
Lineage: Eukaryota; Metazoa; Chordata; Aves; Galliformes; Phasianidae
Description: lncRNA (ENSPCLG00000000671.1)
Source: RNAcentral